CCUACGGGGGGCAGCAGUGGGGAAUAUUGGACAAUGGGGGCAACCCUGAUCCAGCCAUGCCGCGUGUGUGAAGAAGGCCCUCGGGUUGUAAAGCACUUUCAGUGAGGAAGAACGCCUGGUGGUUAAUACCCAUCAGGAAAGACAUCACUCACAGAAGAAGCACCGGCUAACUCCGUGCCAGCAGCCGUGGUAAUACGGAGGGUGCGAGCGUUAAUCGGAAUUACUGGGCGUAAAGCGCGCGUAGGUGGCUUGAUAAGCCGGUUGUGAAAGCCCCGGGCUCAACCUGGGAACGGCAUCCGGAACUGUCAAGCUAGAGUGCAGGAGAGGAAGGUAGAAUUCCCGGUGUAGCGGUGAAAUGCGUAGAGAUCGGGAGGAAUACCAGUGGCGAAGGCGGCCUUCUGGACUGACACUGACACUGAGGUGCGAAAGCGUGGGUAGCAAACAGGAUUAGAUACCCUGGUAGUC
RNAcentral lists this ribosomal RNA (465 nucleotides) under Vreelandella stevensii. RNAcentral describes it as "partial 16S ribosomal RNA". It matches the Rfam family "Bacterial small subunit ribosomal RNA", at positions 338 to 795 of the family's 1533-position model. The record is from RNAcentral. Lineage: Bacteria; Pseudomonadati; Pseudomonadota; Gammaproteobacteria; Oceanospirillales; Halomonadaceae.